Molecule: ribosomal RNA, 393 nt
Filed under: uncultured bacterium
Lineage: Bacteria
Description: partial 16S ribosomal RNA
Rfam family: Bacterial small subunit ribosomal RNA
Source: RNAcentral
AUACGGAGGAUGCGAGCGUUAUCCGGAUUUAUUGGGUUUAAAGGGUGCGUAGGCUGUGCGUUAAGUCAGGGGUGAAAUGCCGUCGCUCAACGACGGAGCUGCCCUUGAUACUGGCGUGCUGGAGUACGGAUGCCGUUGGAGGAAUGAGUGGUGUAGCGGUGAAAUGCUUAGAUAUCACUCAGAACACCGAUUGCGAAGGCAUCUGACGAAUCCGUCACUGACGCUGAGGCACGAAAGCGUGGGGAUAGAACAGGAUUAGAUACCCUGGUAUUCCACGCCGUAAACUAUGAUGACUAACCGUCGGCGAUAGACAGCCGGUGGCCAAGCGAAAGCGAUAAGUCAUCCACCUGGGGAGUACGUCGGCAACGAUGAAACUCAAAGGAAUCGACGGGG